This 292-nucleotide ribosomal RNA is filed under the name uncultured bacterium. RNAcentral's name for it is "partial 16S ribosomal RNA". The record is from RNAcentral. RNAcentral also lists the same sequence under 2 other names.
GGACUACAGGGGUAUCUAAUCCCGUUCGCUCCCCUAGCUUUCGCGCCUCAGCGUCAGAAGAGGUCCAGUACGUCGCUUUCGCCACCGGCGUUCCUUCCGAUAUCAACGCAUUUCACCGCUCCACCGGAAGUUCCACAUACCCCUACCUCCCUCCAGACCAUCAGUAUCCAAGGCACUUUUCCGGUUGAGCCGAAAGAUUUCACCCCGGACUUGACAGCCCGCCUACGCGCCCUUUAAGCCCAGUGAUUCCGAACAACGUUCGCACGGUUCGUCUUACCGCGGCUGCUGGCAC